GAUGAACGCUGGCGGCGUGCCUAAUACAUGCAAGUCGAGCGGACCAAAGAGAGCUUGCUCUCUGAGGUUAGCGGCGGACGGGUGAGUAACACGUGGGUAACCUGCCUGUAAGACGGGGAUAACUUCGGGAAACCGAAGCUAAUACCGGAUGAUAAAGAGAAACGCCUGUUUCUUUUUUGAAAGUCGGCCUUGUGCUGACGCUUACAGAUGGGCCCGCGGCGCAUUAGCUAGUUGGUGAGGUAACGGCUCACCAAGGCGACGAUGCGUAGCCGACCUGAGAGGGUGAUCGGACACACUGGGACUGAGACACGGCCCAGACUCCUACGGGAGGCGGCAGUAGGGAAUCUUCGGCAAUGGACGAAAGUCUGACCGAGCAACGCCGCGUGAGCGAUGAAGGCCUUCGGGUCGUAAAGCUCUGUUGUCAGAGAAGAACAAGUACCGGAGUAACUGCCGGUACCUUGACGGUACCUGACCAGAAAGCCACGGCUAACUACGUGCCAGCCGCCGCAGUAA
Molecule: ribosomal RNA, 513 nt
Filed under: uncultured bacterium
Lineage: Bacteria
Description: partial 16S ribosomal RNA
Rfam family: Bacterial small subunit ribosomal RNA
Source: RNAcentral